GGAAUUCUGUUGACCGAGGGGAAGGUGUUAGGCACCCCUCGAUCCCGUGGUUCGACCACGGUCGCUUGGUGGAGCAUAUCGGCUAAUUUUGACACUAUGAAUGUACAACCCACACAAAACACAUAAAACAAUCAAACAAACAAACAAAACAAAAAGAAUCAAUAGUACAGUGUCCAGUCCAAUUUAUACAGUCCAAAAAUAAAAAUGCAAAAAUAAAUCCUAUCUAACCUACACUAGUACUAGCUACGCUCCCGUGCUUUACCCGACGCCUCGGACCUUCAUCAUGAACGUCCUUCGAGUACAAAAUACCCCAGGGCAUUCCCCGGUGAAUAAAGAUAUACAGAUACUUCGGGGCAUUCCCCGACCAAAUAGUACAAUUGAUCCAAAAGUGAUAAAACAAAACCAUUCAACACACAUUUCAACAUUCACGCAUUGAAUCAACACAUCACUCCUAAUUUUUGCCUACCCACACCUAAAUAUUUUUUCCUAUCUAAUUCGACCUAUCAGGAUACUAUCAAGCUCGAUAUCAAUGAAUCAAAUCAACAAAAUCAUUUUUAUCAACUUUUAACUUCCGCUCCACAACAAUCAAUUUUAAUUCUCAAACGAGAUAUCAUUUCAUCACAUAAUCCAUAAUCAAUCCACUAUCAAGGGAAUAAAAUACCGAACUAGAACAACAACAAUUCACAUCAUCACGAAUUAACAACACACAAUAUUAAAAUUAAUGCAUCGGAUACCAUCAAUAAUAAAACAAAAAGAGGUAAAGAGUAGAAUUGGACCUCGAUGAUGAUUUUAUUCCAAAUAUCAGUCAAUCAAAAAGGCAGAAUCCGUGCACCGAAGAACCUCAAUUCGAACCUCGACUACGAACUUGCCAACUCGAUCAAAAACCCCUAAAACAGCGAACAAAAUCACAAAAAAUAAAACCCAAAGCUCAAAUUUCAAAUGCAGUUUGCAACGGGUCUCGUCGGAUUUGCUAUUUUUGGUGAAGUUUGAACUUGUCAAAGUUUUGAUGGAUCUCGACAGUCAGCGAAAUAAUAUUUCCCAACAAGAUUUCAUUGGAAAUGAAAGUGGGUUUUACCGGUAGGCUCGACUAUUGAUUUCUGGUGGAGGUGGGCUGUUUAACCAUUGAUUUACGAUGGGUUUGCGGGUGAUUUGAUCUAAUUUCGACUGGGAUCGGUGAUGAGGGCCCCUUCCCGGUGAAGGACGUCAUAUCGAUGUUCUCCGACGACUGUGUCGCCGGAACAGUAACCAAACACGACUCUACCUCCACUUUCGAUCCUCAGCUCUACCUCUCACUCGAUUUCACUCUCUCUCUCUCUCUUUUUGGUUUCUCCCAAUUUCUCCCUCUCUCUCUCUGGUUUUCUCAUUCUCGAUUUCUCCAAUCUCUCCUUAUUUUUUUCACUCUCUCGAUCUCGACUCCCCUCGUCCCUCGUUGUUUUUCUCUAUUGUCUACUGUGUGUAUUGUCAAUCUAUGAGUGUAUUGGUCAUUUUGGGUGAAGAAUUAUAGAGAAGAUGAUACGUGUACGUCCUUUUUUGGGGGAUCAAUGAGAGGAUUUUGUGUGUAGUGGUGUCUUGAAGAAGAAGUUGUGCAUUUGUUGUGUAUAUGGAAGAAUGAAAAAAAAAAAUUCAAUCCCUUCUCAAUUGUUCUGUAUAUAUGCCAAAAAAUAGAAGAGAGUAGUAUGUGAGCAUUCUCUUGGGGAAUCUCAUGUGGACCCCCUCCCAUUCUUUUUUGUUAUCUUGUUUACACGUCCCCUUUAUUGUUAUGCAAAAUGCCAAUAAAAAAUUAAAAAAAAAACGUGUAAUGGUGUAAAGAGGGUGACAUGGGUGGGGUAGGGGUAGGUGAGGGUAAGGGUAUGGGAUGGGGUUAUGGGAAGGUGAUUAGGAUAAAGUUUGUUAGGGAGUGGUUGUUGAUUUGUUAUCAAAAGAAUAUUCUUGAAUUAAAUUGGUUAGAGGUUUGUUACUAUUAUUAUCUUUUGUAUUUUGUGGGGGUAAUCACAUGGAUGAGGGUACGUGGUGAGGUGAGUUAAAAAUAGAUAAAAAUUGGACUUUGAGGGGGACAAAAUUAUGUGUCUACAUCAUGCCCCCAUUGAAUGUAAACACGCAGUGUUUUCAGACAAAGAAGUAGACAACGAGACAGAAUUUUGACCCGACCAUUGUUCAAAGGAAGGAACAGAAGGAAGAAGGACAAACGAGUCUUGACUUAGGACAACCUACCUACCCAAGUUAUGGAGGAAUCAAGUGAACGAUAUUUCAAAAGGCUGGAAGAGAAGAGGACUAUACCGAGUUGGAGAGUCGAGUGAGGUUCCAUCGAGGUUCCGGUCCGUGACUCUGUCAUUACAUCAAAAAAUAAAAAUUACAAGUUAAAACAUAAAUGAAAUUAUAAAAUCCUAUCUAUACAGCUUCUGUUGGCUCUUGACUCGAAUUUUAUCACUUUAUUCUUUAGGCGGGCUCCUGACUUGCAAUUUCUUUCAACUUGUAGCUUGGCUUUCAAUUGCUUAACUUUGUUGCAUGACUGUUCAUUUCUUCACCCUAUUCUCCAGGCGGGCUCCUGACUUGCUAUUUCAUCACUUUGUUGCUUGACUUUUCAUUUCUUCACUCUGUUCUCUAGGCGGGCUCCAGACUUGCUAUUUCAUCACACUGUUCUUCAGGCAGGCUCCUGAAACCCAAAAUUAAAAAUAGAACGAAAAUUAUCCCAAACAAAAAUUAUAGUAAACUAGUAUUUCAUUUUUUGAAAGCGUUGUCCCAUUUUCCAGGAGGGUCCUGAACAGAAAGUAAAGUCCCAUUUUUCAAGAGGGUCCUGAACUUAAAGUAAAUUUUCAUUCUUCAGAAGGGCCCUAAACAUAAAGUAAAAUCCCAUUUUUCAAGAGGAUCCUAAACAUAAAGUAAAAUCCCAUUUUUCAGGAAGGUCCUGAAUAGAACGUAAAAUCUUAAUUUUCAGAACAGUCCUGAACAGAACGUAAAAUCCCAUUUUGCAGGAUGGUCCUGAAUAGAAAGUAAAAUCCCAUUUUUCAGGAGGGUCCUGAGCAGAAGGUAAAGUCCUAUUUUUCAGGAGGGUCCUGAACAGAAAGUAAAAUUCAAUUUUUCAAGAGGGUCCUGAGCAGAAGGUAAAGUCCCAUUUUUCAAGAGGGUCCGGAACAGAAAGUAAACUCCCAUUUUUUAGGAGGAUCCUGAACAGAAAGUAAAGUUUCAUUUUUCAGGAGGGUCCUGAACAGAAGGUAAAAUUCCAUUUUCAGGAGGGUCCUUAACAUAAAGUAAAGUCCCUAUUUCAGGAGGGUCCUAAACAGAAAGUAAAAUCACAUUCUUAAGGAGUGUCCUGAGUAGAAGGGAAAGUCCCAUUUUUCAGGAGGGUCCUGAACAGAAAGUAAAGUCUCAUUUUUCAGGAGUGUCCCGAACAAAAAGUAAAAUCUCAUUUUUUCAGGAGGGUCCUGACAAACAGUAAAAUUCCAUUUUCCAAGAGGGUCCUGAACAGAAGGUAAAAUUCCAUGUUUCAGGAGGAUCCUGAACAUAAAGUAAAGUCCUAUUUUUUAGGAGGGUCCUGAGUAGAAGGGAAAGUGUCAUUUUUAAGGAGGGUCCUGAACAGAAGGUAAAGUCCCAUUUUUUAGGAGGGUACUGAACAGAAAGUAAAAUCUCAUUUUUCAGGAGGGUCAUAAGCAGAACGUAAAAUCCAAUUUUUCAGGAGGGUCCUCAACAGAAAGUAAAAUCCCAUUUUUCAAGAGGGUCCUGAACAUAAAGUAAACUCCCAUUUGUCAGGAGGGUCCUGAAAAAAUAGUAAAACUCCAUUUUUCAGGGGGGGUCCUGAGCAGAAUGUAAAAUCUUAUUUUUCAGGAGGGUCCUGAACAAAAAGUAAAAUCCCAUUUUUCAGGAGGGUCUUGAGCAGAACGUAAAAUAGCAUUUUUCAGGAGGGUCCUGAAAAGAAAGUAAAAUCCCAUUUUUCAGGAGGGUCCUGAGCAGAAGGUAAAGUCCCAUUUCAGGAGGGUCCUGAACAGAAAGUAAAAUCUCAUUUUUUAGGAAGGUCUUAAACAAACAGUAAAAUUAUAUUUUUCAGGAGGAUCCUGAACAGAAAGUAAAGUCCCGUUUUUCAGGAGAGCCCUGAACAUAAAGUAAAGUCCUAUUUUUUAGGAGGUCCUGAACAGAAAGUAAAAUCCUAUUUUUCAGGAGGGUCCUGAGCAGAAAGUAAAGUCCCAUUUAUCAAGAGGGUCCUGAGCAGAAGGUAAAGCCCCAUUUUUUAGGAGGGUCCUGAACAGAAAGUAAAAUCUCAUUUUUUAGGAGGGUCCUGAGCAGAAGCUAAAGUCCCAUUUUUCAGGAGGGUCCUGAUCAAAAAGUAAAGUCCCAUUUUUCAGGAGGGUCCUGAACAGAAAGUAAUGUCCCAUUUUUCAGAAGGGUCCUGAACAGAUAGUAAAAUCUCAUUUUUUAGGAGAGUCCUGAACAAACAGUAAAAUUUUCUUUUCCAGGAGGGUCCUGAACAAAAGGUAAAAUUCCAUUUUUCAGGAGGGUCCUGAACAAAAGGUAAAAUUCCAUUUUUCAGGAGGGUCCUGAACAGAAAGUAAAAUCUCAUUUUUCAGGAGGGUCCUGAGCAGAAAGUAAAAUCUCAUUUUUCAGGAGGGUCCUAAACAGAAAGUAAAGUCCCAUUUUUCAGGUGGGUCCUGAACAAAUAGUAAAAUCUCAUUUUCUAGGAGGGUCAUGAACAGAAGGCAAUAUUCUAUUUUUCAGUAGGGUCAUGAAUAUAAAGUAAAGUCCCAUUUUUCAGGAGGGUCCUGAACAGAAAGUAAUGUCCCAUUUUUUAGGAGGGUCCUGAAUAGAUAGUAAAAUCCCAUUUUUUAGGAGAGUUCUGAACUAUCAGUAAAAUCCCAUUUUCUAGGAGGGUCUUGAAAAAAAAGGUAAAAUUUCAUUUUUCAGGAGGGUCCUGAACAUAAAGUAAAGUCCUAUUUUUCAGGAGGGUCUGAACAGAAAGUAAAAUCUCAUUUUUUAUUUGGGUCCUGAACAGAAAGUAGAAUUCCAUUUUUCAGGAGGGUCCUGAGCAGAAAGUAAAGUCCCAUUUUUCAGGAGGGUCCUGAACAAAAAGUAAAAUCCCAUUUUUCAGGAGGGUCCUAAGAAGAAGGUAAAGUCCCAUUUUUCAGGAGGGUCCUAAAUAGAAAGUAAAGUCCCAUUUUUCAGGAGGGUCCUGAACAGAAAGUAAAAUCCCAUUUUUCAGGAGGGUCCUGAGCAGAAAGUAAAGUCCUAUUUUUCUAGAGGGUCUUGAGCAGAAGGUAAAGUCCCAUUUUUCAGAAGGGUCCUGAACAAAGGUAAACUUCCAUUUUUCAGGAGGAUCCUGAACAUAAAGUAAAGUCCUAUUUUUCAGGAGGGUCCUGAACGUAAAGUAAACUCCCAUUUUUCAGGAGGGUCCUGAACAGAAAGUAAAAUCCCAUUCUUCAGGAGGGUUCUGAACAUAAAGUAAAAUCUCAUAGAUGUGCAUUUCGAAUGGGAGCUGAAUUAAGUGAAGUGGAUUUGCCCCUAUUUCAACAAAGAAAAUUUGUCAAUUAAAAACUUAGUGGUGGCUUGCAGCUCUUGGCUUCUCAGUUAUCUGCCCCAGCACUCGUUUCUUUCAUCUUUGUUCCAAAUCGCUGACACUUGCCCUGUCUUGCCGCAUUAUUAACCUGGAUCCAGAUUGAGGGAAAUGAGUUCUGACUCGAACAAUGGGUUUCCUUUUACCAUGCCUCUGAGGUGCACCCUUUUCCCAAAUCAGAAUGCUUCCACGAAUCCAACAGUCUGUCGGUUGAUAGACUUUCUUUGCUUCGUGUUGAAUUACGAUCAUAUUUCUUUCAUAUGUUGUUCCUUGACUUUUCCUUAUAUAAUUGUAAAGACUGGUAGUGAAUUUUGAAAUCCUUCCUCGCUUGUUUUGACACAGACUUGACUUAAAAUGUAAAGAAAUGAUGGUGACUUUUAUUUUGAUAAAUGACAUAAAAAGACAAAAAGCAUGAAUAUGUAAAUGAAAGAAAAGGGCAAUGUCCCAUAUUCAAAAAGAAAACUUAUCUGAAUACGGCAACCAACUCCAAUGGGUAUAACAUGCAUUUUGGAUUAAGCUGCCUGAUCUUCCUAUCCAAACUUCCCAUUUGUUGUUGAGUUCGUGCCUUUGUCGCUGAGCCGCUUCUUCAAAUCAUUGGACUCAUACAUUACAUUCAAUUGACGACAUCUUAAAAUACUUUCGCCAACAAAUCUCUUUUUUUUCACUUUUCACUUUUCUCUUGAACUCGCCAUCACCUUACGGCGCCCGUGAGGGUUUUCACCAAUAAAACUCUCUCAUUUUUAUUUCUCUCCACUCACCAUCGCCUUAUGGUACCUGUGAGGAUUUUCACCAAUAAGACUCUCUCAUUUUCAUUUCUCUCAACUCACUAUCGUCUUAUGAUGCCCAUGGGGGUUUUCACCAAUAAGACUCUCUCUCAUUUUGUAUUUCUUUCUUGAUUUCUUACGCUGAGGGAGACAAGUGGUACCUCACAAUGUAUCAUCAUAUCCAUUGCAUGCUUAGCCUUAACAUUAUCAAAAAUUGAUCUGAAGGAUUUUCUUUAGUUGUAACUUGGCCUUCGGAUAAGGUUAGAAAAGGAUGGCAAGAGGUUUAAAUGAGACUUGAAGUGGGGUGGGACUUACAGCUUUUGGAAUCGAAUCAAACAACACAUUAAGUCAUGCCCCAGUUUUUGUUGACUGGGUGACUCUAAAAUCUUUAUUUGGUUGGACCGAUCCCGAAAUAGGGCAGCCUACGUAUCUCACUCCUAAGAGAGGAGAAUCAGGUCGCAUGUAGCUCCAUAAGCUUGUUCUUUAUUUUUAUUUGAUUUUUUUUUGGACCUCUUUCUUUUAUUCUUAUUUUCUUGAUAUUUAUAUUUGACUCUAUUUUCAUUCCAAAAGAGGGAUAUGAAAGAAAAAAUAAAACGAAGCUCAAACGGGUAAACAAAGGAUGACACAAUGUUUGGAUAGAAGAAAAAAAUGCCUUCAUCAUAUCAAUCUUAAAAAUGGAAGUACUAAACAUGUAAUAAAAUCAACAAAGGAUAAAAUAUCAUACAUAAUAUCUUUUGACCGCAUCAACAUUAAUAGCCAUUUCUGCCAUUUUGCCUUCAAUAUCUUUCAAAUAUAAGGAUCCAUUGGGCAACACUUUCUUCAUAACGAAGGGACCUUGCCAGUUAGGGGAGAACUUGCCUUUCGCUUCAACCUGGUGAGGAAGGAUAUGUUUCAAUACCAACUGACCAACUUCAAAAUUCCUGGGAUGGACCUUUUUGUUAUACGCUCGAGCCAUCCUCCUCUGAUACAACUGGCCAUGACACACAGACGUUAGCCUUUUUUUCUCAAUCAAACUCAAAUGCUCCAGUUGGGUUUUUACCCAUUCGUCAUCAUUAAUCUCUACUUCUACAAUGACUCGAAGAAAAUUUCAACUUCUGCAGGGAUGACUGCUUCUGUCCCAUACACCAAUAAAUAUGGAGUUGCCCCUGUUGAAGUGCGAACAAUGGUGCGAUAACCUAGCAAUGCAAAUGGCAAAUUUUCAUGCCAAUGUCUAGACCCUUGUACCAUUUUUUGCAGUAUGUUUUUUAUAUUCUUAUUGGCGAAUUCUACAGAACCAUUGGCCUUUGGGCGAUAUGGAGUAGAAUUUUGAUGUGCGAUCUUAAACUGUUGACGCACUCCUUGCAUCAAAUGCCUAUUGAGAUUGGCAGCAUUGUCUAUAAUGAUCAUCUUAGGAAUUCCAAACCUACAAAUGAUGUUGGCAUGAAUAAAAUCUACCACAGCCUUCUUUGUCAUUGACUUAAAAGUUACUGCUUCUACCCACUUUGUGAAGUAAUCAAUGGCUACCAAAAUGAAUCUAUGUCCAUUUAAUGCCUUCGGCUCAAUCGGUCCAAUCACAUCCAUUCCCCAAGCCACAAACGGCCAUAGAGCGGCCAUUGCAAACAAUUCAGUAGGAGUAGAACAUAUCAUAUCACCGUGUACCUGACAUUGAUGACACUUUCAAACAAAUCGAAUAAAAUAUCUCUCCAUAGUAAGCCAGUAAUAACCUGCUCGAAGAAUCUUCUUUGACAAGACAUGACCAUUCAUAUGCAACCCGCAUACUCCAGAGUGUAUUUAAACCAUGAUUGUCGAGGCUUCUCUUGCAUCUACACAUCUCAAAAUUCCCAGAUCUGGGGUUCUCUUAUAUAAGAUCCCCCCACUUAAUAAAAAUCCACUAGCCAAAUGCCUAAUAGUCCUCUUUUGAUCGUUGGUGGCAUAUGUUGGGUAUUCUCCUGACUGCAUGUAUCGCUUGAUAUCCAAGAACCAGGGUUCUCCAUUGAGCUAUUCUUCAACCGCAUUACAGUAAGCAUACUGAUGACGACUCUGUAUAUGCACAGGAUCGAUGUAGGCUUUAUAAGGAUGUUGGAGCAUUGAAGAUAGAGUGGCUAAAGCAUCAGCAAUUUCAUUAUGAAUCCUUGGAAUAUGCCUAAAUUUUACUAACACAAACCGUUGACAUAACUUCUGCAAGCAUUGUCGAUACGGGAUGAGCUUCAAAUAUUGUGUCUCCCAAUCUCCUUAAAUUUGAUGGACGAGCAAAUCCGAAUCUCCCAGCAUCAAUAAUUCCUGGACUCCCACAUCAACAACUAACCUCAAACCAAGAAUGCAAGCUUCAUGCUCUGUCAUGUUGUUAGUACAGUAAAAUCGAAGUUGUGCUAUUAUCGAGAAAUAUUGUCCCGAUUCAGAGAUAAGAACUGCACCUAUUUUGACUCCUUUUAUAUUGAUAGCUCCAUCGAAGAACAACUUCCAACCUGGAUCAGUAUCUAUAAUGGCUUCAUCGACACACGACACUUCCUCAUCAGGAAAAUAUGUCUUUAAUGGCUCGUACUCUUCAUUGAUGGGAUUCUCAGCAAGAUGAUCUGCCAAGGCUUGGGCUUUCAUGGCAAUUCGAGUCACAUAUACAAUGUCAAACUCAGUAAGCAAUAUUUUUCAUUUUACCAAUUGACCUGUCGGCAUAGGUUUCUGAAAGAUAUACUUCAAAGAAUCCAUGCGGGAGAUGAGAUAAGUAGUAUAGGAUGAGAGAUAAUGCUUCAACUUCUGUGCUACCCAAGUUAAGGCACAACACGUCCUUUCAAGAAGAGUAUACCUGGCCUUAUAUGCAGUGAACUUCUUGCUAAGAUAAUAAAUAGCCUGCUCCUUUUUGCCUGUGACAUCAUGUUGACCCAGGACACAACCAAAAUAAUUGUCCAUGACUGAUAAAUAUAAGAUCAAAGGCCUACCAGGCUCCAGUGGUACCAGCACGGGCGAAUUUGACAAAUAUCUUUUGAUUCUGUCAAACGCUUCCUGACAUUCUUCAGUCCAUUCUACCGCAGCACUCUUUUUUAGAAACUUGAAUAUGGGCUCAGAAGUGGUUGUGAGUUGAGCAAUAAACCUGCUAAUGUAGUUCAGUAUACCAAGCAAACUCAUCACCUCUGUCCUAUUUUUGGGUGGGGGCAAAUCUUGAAUGGCUUUCAUUUUCGAGGGAUCCGAUUCAAUCCCCUGACGGCUGACCACAAACCCCAAAAACUUUCUAGAUGGAACUCCAAAUACAUAUUUUGCCGGGUUGAGCUUGAGAUUAUACCUGCAAAGCCUUUCAAAGAACUUUCUUAAAUCUUUAACAUGGUCGGCCCGACUUUUUGACUUAAUAAUCACAUCAUCCACGUAUACCUCAAUCUCCUUAUGCAUCAUAUCAUGAAACAUAGUAGUCGUGGCUCUCAUGUAUAUUGCUCCAGCAUUCUUCAAACCGAAUGGCAUCACUCGAUAACAAUAUAUCCCCCAUGGUGUGAUAAAAGACGUCUUCUCUGUGUCUUCAUCAUCCAUAACGAUCUGGUGAUAUCCGGUAUAGCAAUCCAUAAAAGAGGCAACCUUGUGUUUAGCACAGUUGUCUAGCAAAAUAUGGAUGUUGGGCAGUGGAAAAUCAUCUUUUGGACUUGCUCUAUUCAAAUUACGGUAAUCAACACAUACUCAAAUUUUGCCAUCUUUCUUUGGUACGGGAACAACAUUGGAUAACCACAUGGGAUAACGAGCCACUCGUAUUACUUACUUUGGCUUUAAAUUGUUUCAUGAUUUCCUCUUUGAUUUUAAUACUUACAUCAGUUUUAAACUUCCUCAACUUUUGUUUAACAGGAGGAAAUGCGGGGUCAGUUGGCAAUUUGUGAGCCACUAAUUCAGUUCUCAAACAAGGCAUAUCAUCAUAAGACCAUGCAAAAAAUCCUUAUAAUCAAUUAGUGCUUGAAUCAUUUCAUCUUUUAGCUGUGGCAAAGCAUGUACACUGAUUUUAGUUUCCCUAACAUCUUCUUGAUUUCUUAGAUUUAUUGGCUCAGUCUCAUUCAAAUUAGGAUUCGGUUUGUCUUCAAACUGUUCCAACUCUUUGCUUAUUUUUUCUAGUGCUUCUUCUUCAUCAUAUUUUCCAUCCUGCUUCAUUACAUCUUGAUUAGUUUGGAUUUGAAGAUCAGGCUGAAAAUUUUGCAUGCAUGUCAUGUCAUUAAAAUUAGCAUAAAGAGAACUGUACAUAUAUAAAAAAAAAAGAAAAAUAAAAUAUAUUAGAGACAAAACAAAAGGGACAUAGCAUUUCAUUAAAUAAAAAGAUAGAAGGGUUUAAGAAUAGAUGCCAACAUAACAUAAACAAACUAAAAUCCGAGUUACAACCCUGAAAUAACUCGGAUAAAUAGAAAGAAAAACAAAAUAAACUACCAAAACUCUCUCCUGACGGGGAUAAGAGUAACUUUCCAAUUAUUGAGUCGGACGGCUGGACCUAUGAAUUGCACAUCUGCCAUACUGGUGUCUUCUCCUGCUUAGACCAUAUCAACUUCAAUAAAAAGUUUCUGGCAGUUAUCAACCAAUUCAACUUCAAAUUCCAUAUGCUUCAUGACACCGCUCUUAACCAAUGAUUCACUGAGUAGUGGCAUUGGGCGAGAGAGUGACCAUGUUUCCUUUUUCCUUCCCUUGGCUUUCUUCAGAUCUUUAACCGUAGGCUUAAAUCCCAGACCAAACGUGCCCACGUACUCACUCGAAUAUAUGGGAUGAACUAUACCAUGCAGAGACGCUCCCAAACCCUUUCCUGGCUCAAAUCCAUAUUUCCAAAGUUCACUCACCUUCAUGAUAGAAGCGGAAGACAAUUGCUGUCCUGGUAUAACCUAUCAUUCAAGGAUACGAUUCACUGGCACUGUAUCAAAAAUUUGAUAGACGAAUGUCUCCUCUACGUUAUUUGCUUCAAUAAGAGACAAGGGAGAAUCUUCACAGGCGGACAAAUCUCCUUCACUGUGAAUAACCACUUCUUGCCUAUCAUGCUCAAACUUAAUCAUUUGAUGCAGUGUAGAUGCAACUGCCUUGGCCUUGUGGAUUCAGGGCCUUCCCAACAACAGAUUGUAAGAGGAGUCUAUAUUCAAUACUUGAAACUCUAUGGUGAAUUCAACAGGCCCUAUGAUCAACAUUAGUUCUAUUUUGCCAAUGGAGUUUGAUUUUGUACCAUCGAAAGCCCUGCCACAUACAUUGUUGGGCCUGAUCCUCUCAGUACCAAUAUUCAACUUUUGCAAAGUAGAAAUAGAGCAGAUAUUUAAACCUGAACCUUCGUCAAUCAUAACAUGAGUGACGUAGAAAUCUUCAUACUUCACUAUAAUGUAAAGGCCCCGAUUAUGCCCUGUACCUUUAACAGGAAAUUUAUCGUCAGAAAAGCUGAUCUGAUUGACCUCAAAGAUUUUUUCGACCAUUUUCUCAAGCUAAUUUAUUGUAAUCUCCCUAAGAACAUAUGCUUCAUUUAAUACCUUCAGUAAAAUAUCACGAUGCUCCUUGGAGUGCAACAAUAAAGAUAAGAGGGAAAUUUGAGCAGGGGUUUUCUUCAACUGGUCUAUUAUUGAAUACUCUAGCAAUUUCAUCUUUUUCAAAAAUUCUUCAACUUCUUCUUCGGUGAUAGGCUUUUUGAUAGAUGACGGUCCACUCACAAUUGGCGUGGACUUUCUUAAACUUUCAGGCAUGAAGCAUCUUCCUGACCUAAUCAAACCCCUACCUCAUCUACAUCUUCCACUACUUCUUUCCCAUGAUAGGUCAUCACAGCCCGCCCAUAACUCUAGGGAACCCUUUUCGUAUCAACUAUCGAAGGUUGGGUCACCGGUUUGAGAAUAAUAGGCUCUGUCAAUGCUUCUUUCAUCGAUAAGAUGGGCUUACUCGGAGCUCCUACCACUGUCAACUUAGGUUUAUCCUGACUUAAAUCAACAUACCUUCUGGCACCUUGCACAGUGAUCAGGGGUUUCUUUGUGCUUUCUUGGGCUUUAUUUUCUCUCAUUCCUUCCUGGCUCAAUGACAUAGCUUUUAAAGACUCUGCUACAUUAAUCGAUUUUUCCUCAAUGGUCUGUAUCUUGACGAUAGGCUUAUAACACCUUGAUCCCGUUAUAUAUCAAUUCUAAUAUAUUGGUUUCAGUAUGGGUUGGAAGCGGAUUCUAGUUAAUGUUUGAACCCUUUGGGGCCUGGACCAGCAUCUGAUUUGUGUCAAUUAAAUCUUGAACAGCUCUCUUUAAAUGCCAACAUUUCUUGAUAUUAUGGCCUGGUAUGUCAAAACAGUACGCAUACCUUAAAGAAUAAUCGAUAUUCCUCGACGGUGGAUUUGAAAGUCUUUCUUGAAUUGGAAUUAAGACCUUCAACUUUCUUAACCUAUCAAACAAUCUAGCAUAUGACUCGCUAAGAGGUGUGAAUUGAUUUUUGACUGCCUUCUCUUUCUUAUAAUCGGGCCUAGGUUGAAAACCGGGUCUGGAGGGGUUUUGGUAAUUCGGUAAAGCGAAUUGGAAAUUUUAUGGGGCUUGCACGCGCUAUUGCGGAUAAGAAGGGGUUUGGGCAAUGGUUGCGCGCUAUAUACUGGGUACGGGGGUGGUGGAAUGGAAUAUAAAGAGUUUUGUGGAGGUUAGUAAUGGUGGGGAGGAAUAUAUGGAGCUUGGGCAUAGACUUGGGCUUGGGAUUGGGGAUAGGGGCGAGGUGGCCUUUUGGGAUAGGAAUGGGUUCCAGCUACGAUUGUCGCCACGUCCUCUUUCUUCUUUUUACCUCCAAGUACGCCAGAUCCACCUUGAAUCGCUUGUGUGGUGGCUUUCAAUGCGGCAAAACUCACUAUUCAGCCGGUCUUAAUUCCAUCCUCUACCAUCUCCCCCAUUUUGAGGACUUCAAUAAAAGACUUUCCCAUUGCCGAAAGUAAAUGCUAAAAAUAGGUCUCAUCCUGUGCCUAAAUUAAAACCUCUACCAACUUGCUUUCUUUCAUUGGAGGCUUUACCCUGGCGGCCUGUUCACGCCACCUUAUUGUGUAUUCCCUACAACCUUCAGUGCUUUUCUUCUUCAUAUUGACCAAGGAUUUUUCGUCCGAAAUCAGGUCAAUGUUAUACUAAAAAUAUUGCACAAGCUCAGAAGCUAAGUCAUCCCAGUUGUUCCACUUAUCGAUAUCUUGAUCGAUAAACCAUUCUGAAGCCAGAUCAGAAAGACUCUCGCCAAAGAAACCCAUGAGCAUAUCUUCCCUUCCUCCUGCAGCCCUCAAUUGGUUGCAAUAACGUCUCAAGUAUGCCAUGGGAUCACCGUGCCCUACAUACUUCUUGAACUUGGGCAUUUUGAAACCGAGGGGAAGGUUGAUGUCUGGGAACAUGCAAAGAUCUUUAUACGAAACACUCUUAUAACCUUCGAUUCCCUGCAAAUUCCUCAUGGCCUAUUCGAAACUUUUCAACUUCCUAUUCCUCUAUUGCGAUAGGUUUCUCCGUAUCAAAUGGAAAUACAGGUGGCUGAGUGUACCCAUACGGUUCAUUCAUUCUCAAAGUAGGCUCCGGGGUAUAAUACUGACUAUUUGAAACCUUCAAUACUGGCUCACUGGCAGACUUAGGAAGCCUCAUUGUCGGAUGCACAGCAUAUGUGGGAGCUUCAGGUGGUGGCGGAGCCACGAAUACUGGUGCUGACUGAGCAGUGGGUCUUGAUUGGGGAGCUUCCAAGGGCACACUAGAACUGCCAGGAUAAUAAUGUCGCGGAGUGAAUCCUGGCGCGUGCUAAGGUGACUCAGUAGGAGCAGAGAAUUUUGCCUGAGAGCGGUGGGCAAUUAGAGAUAUUCCCAAGACCUUCAGGGAGCGGAGGAGGAGGCAUUCCACUGGCCCAUGCCUAGUGCAAAUCUAUCAAUUGUUGCCUGAGCCUUACUACCUCAUCAUUCUGUUCUGAACUUUCUUCUCUGUGAUCCUGAUCCGGGUCACUGAGCAAAUUUCAAUCUCCCUGCUAGCCAUGACGAACUUUACUUUUGAUCUAGUGAAGUAUGGGUGACUAGCCAGAGUGCUGCAAGCCUACCACUGUUAUCUGAAAGAACAUGCUCAUCAAAGAUGACAUCCGUUAGGAUUAGGGCACACAACAAGCAUGGGAAUCACAUUGGUAAAAUUCUCCUAAAUUCAUGUUCAUUUCUACUAGCUUUUGAGGGUAGCGAGGUCAUUUUAACAUCAUCCUGAUUUUUAUCUACACUUAUUUUUAUCUACACAUUAUUAUUAUUAAAAUUAUUAUUAUUAUUAUUAUUAUUCGCCCUCCUUUCCCUCUCUUUUUUUCGUAUCAAUCUCUGUUCUUUUCCUUUUUUGUCUCAUCAUCCUUUCUUUCUUUUCUUCUCUCGCCAUCUACCUUCAUUUUAUCAUUCUUUAUGGCUUUUGAUUUUCUUUUUAAAAAAAUGAAAAACAACGAAACAAAAUGAUUAGAUAGAACCCAAAAGUAGGUUGCCUACGUAUCAACUUGACUCCGACUUAAAACAGGCGCCACCCUACAAUGAAAGAAACAUAAAAGACUCAAAUUGAAUAAAGAUAAGAAAUGCUCUUUCAGACUGGUGCUCUGCGUGAUGACCCUGGCUGAGAUGGACCUGCCUGUGAAGUUUUCUUUCUCCCAUUCAAACUUUGUAGCAUAUCCUGCAAAGACACCCUGAUAUUGGGAAAGAAGCUUCGGUCCCGUAUUCCUACCUCAUAAAGAGUGCAAUUAGAAAGAUUGUUCUGACACCUUUCUACAAUCUUGAACAAAUCCGCUAACUGAACUCUCAGUGUCUCCACUUUGGACCCCGCACUUUCAUUCUGAUGGUCAUCAACUAUGCAUUCUUCCUAUAUUCUCCCUCUAAGCUGCGUUGGUAAGGGUUGACUAAUACCCCGAGGGAUAAAUUGAAGCCAGACCCCAUAUCCCUGAGUGUACCCUGGAAUAUCCAAACUUUCUUUGAGUGUGUCCACACCUAGCUUUGUUGCAUGCUUCCAAAACUGCUCGUACUUGCUCUUACCUAAGGCUUGGUCCUUAAAGUACUCAACAUCCAUCAGAAGAUCCACUGCUGGUGGCACGUCCUGCAGCCUACCCAACUGGUACAUUACCCUAGAAGGACUGUAUGGUCUAGUGCAAUUGAGCCCUAACAUAACUAAAAGGAGCUGCGUCUGACAACCAAACAAGAUUAUCUUUAGUCGAAGCCACAUAUAAGUCCACAAAAUGUUAUCCCCGAUUCUUGACUCAAGAAAUUCAAUCCAAGCGUCGACUCCCACUGGUAGCGAGAAUUUAUCCAAACACAACCUGAAGUCCAUGGCUUUCACUCGAUUAGGAAUACAACGAUCAACCACGUCUAGUCUAACUGCAAUAUCAGGUUAUUGCCCUAAAAAAAUCUCAUCCCCCCUUCACUUUGGUUAAAGCCUUAUAUAUUUCUGUUAAGAUCAUGGGUAUGAGAGUGAACCUACCCUUUUGAUCAACGACCUUCCCCUUUUGAAUAGUGCCCUUGUCAUUUUGAUCCUUAUGAAAUAGAGCCAUCACCACAGAUUGCAAAUGGUUAUUAAUACGUCUUUCUUCUAGAGGAAACACUAAAAUACCUAACAAAGCGAGGCUGAAAACUUCAAGACGCUUUCUCUCCCACUUCUCCUUAGUCAUAUGAAAUUCAUCCCAAAAGCAAUCAAAACCUUCCGAGGACCCAAAUCUAGCAAGUAGAAAGUCUAAAGAAAUCCAUGAUUGAUUCAGACAACCCAAAUGUCCGUUAUUACUCUUCAAACCACACCCUUGUAGAAACCUUUUGCCCGAGUGAUUCCGAGCUCGGAUCAUACUUUUGUCAAUAUAAGGCAAAUAAAGCAGACCAGAUAAUUCUGCCAACAUAGGCGUCAUUUCACACUUUCCGAACCUAAACACCAAAUUACUAGGAUCUCAAAAGGUCAGCACAGUAUCUAUUAGGUCUGGACGGGGUGGGACAUGCAGAAGUUCCGUAAGAUCACCUAAUAUCUUAAAUAGCUCUUGCUGGUCAGCGUAGUUGAACGUGCUCCACCACUUUAUUAACUUUUUGGGCACUUUGGAAACCAUUAAGACUCUAGACCCUGUAGGCUUCAUCCUGUAGUAACAAGCCAAACUUACAACUCAAAAAUUCAAAACAAGACAAGGAAUUCCCGACCCUUGGGAUUUUAUCUUAGAAAAAAUAUCGUGUGACAUAGAGGGACAGAUCGACAUAUAACUCAAAUUCACCGAACAGUACCGCCGAAUGAAAUCAGCCUACUUGGCAAGAAUUAAUUGACAACGCUAGAUUACGAGAAGGAAAACCCAGGCUAAGACUAAGACAAAGGCCAAAAAAUAAAGAUUAAAAUUACUGGACCCACCGAGGGUUGCCUACGUAUCCCGUCCCAAGGGACGGGAAUCAGGUACGCGUAGUUCAUCUAGAUUGGUCAAUUAAUGAUUAAAUAACAGGCUAGACCCUAACUUAAGAGAUACGACCAAAGACAGACGAUGAACCAUGUUAAUAAAAUCUUUUGAGUUUUCAUUCUGAUACUUCACAGAAAAGUGACAUCAACAACUAUGAAAGAAAAAUCUUUUCGGUAUUUUUGUUAUACGAAAUGUAAAAAAAUUUCUAACAUCUUUUUUUUUUUUUUUUUUUUCUAUAAACACUUCCUAUGAAUGAAAAAUAUCUUUUGAAGUUUUCGAAUUGUGAAUGCAUGCUAAACGAGACAAAGGAAAAUCGUUUUGAUGUUUUUGAGAAAAUGAGUGCGAAAGUUAAAAAAGUCCUUUUGAAUUUUGGAUUUGUGAAAAAUAAAAGCCAUAAAAACUCUAAAAACUACGAAACUCUUUUUUUUUUUCACUACCCACACACUUUACUUCUAACACAUGUUUUUUCAAAUCAGUCCAUCAAAUGACCACGUUAUCCUCAAAGAUGCAACAUUUAGCACGUAGGGAUGCUUUAGAGGUGAGUCUCCUACAAAGGACCAAGUGGGCCCCGCUAGGUCUCAAUAUGAUGCACAUAAGCAUGACCUAAAGGCUGACCUACGUUGGGGUUCACUAACAAAGCUGUUCGAGGGAGCGUAUGGAAAUAGUGGUUGUGAUAGCUUUCCACCUACUCCAUAACACCGACGGCUCCCUUCCUAAAAUAAGGGUGACUCAACUAGAGGUUGUGUACAACACGUGUACUACGAACUUGUUGCAGAAAGAAGACCGGGAGGUAGACACAUGAUGCCAGAUAUAAAAGCGAUAACACAUAGGAUAAAUACUGUACACAAAGACCACGAAAAUAUUCCAAAUGAUAAAACAAUAACACAAAACAACACAAAAAAAAAUAUUUAUACACCUAUAGUGCCAAAAAAAGCCGAUACGAAUCCAAAAUAAGCUCGAAUUCUGAACAGGUCCCCAGUAGAGUCGCCAGAGCUGUCACACCCCUUUUUCAGCAUCCAAAAGAUUCGUUUUGGGUUCGAAAGGAUUUUUAUUAUUAAGUAACAAAUGAAAAUGAUUUGUUUCGAAGAAGGAUUGUUUUUACAUUUGAAAUCAAAGUCGCCACUUGGCAUAAUCUGGUGUGCCAAGUCACCAUUGGAAAAUCCUUUUCAAAAUCAUUUGACUCUUUAAACUGGUUUGCGAAUAGAGAUUACAGCUAAGGAAUUCUGUUGACCGAGGGGAAGGUGUUAGGCACCCCUCGAUCCUGUGGUUCGACCACGGUCACUUGGUGGAGCGUAUCGGCUAAUUUUGACACUAUGAAUGUACAAAACACGUAAAACAAUUAAACAAACAAACAAAACAAAAAGAAUCAAUAGUACAAUAUCCAGUCCAAUUUAUACAGUUCAAAAAUAAAAAUGCAAAUAUAAAUCCUAUCUAACCUACACUAAUACUAGCUACGCUCCC
Molecule: long non-coding RNA, 18066 nt
Filed under: Capsicum annuum
Lineage: Eukaryota; Viridiplantae; Streptophyta; Magnoliopsida; Solanales; Solanaceae
Description: long non-coding RNA (CANN_LNC000156)
Source: RNAcentral